This 72-nucleotide transfer RNA is filed under the name Ovis aries (sheep). It matches the Rfam family "tRNA". Rfam says of the family: Transfer RNA (tRNA) molecules are approximately 80 nucleotides in length. Their secondary structure includes four short double-helical elements and three loops (D, anti-codon, and T loops). The record is from Rfam by way of RNAcentral. Lineage: Eukaryota; Metazoa; Chordata; Mammalia; Artiodactyla; Bovidae.
UCCCUGGUAGCUCAGUUGGUAAAGAAUCUGCCUGCAGUGUAGGAGACCCAGGUUUGAUCCCUGGGUUGGGAA